ACGGAAGGCAGCAGUGGGGAAUAUUGCACAAUGGGCGAAAGCCUGAUGCAGCAACGCCGCGUGAAGGAUGAAGGUCUUCGGAUUGUAAACUUCUGUCCUUGGGGAAGAUAAUGACGGUACCCUUGGAGGAAGCCCCGGCUAACUACGUGCCAGCAGCCGCGGUAAUACGUAGGGGGCAAGCGUUAUCCGGAAUUAUUGGGCGUAAAGAGUGCGUAGGUGGUUACCUAAGCAGGGGGUGAAAGGCAGUGGCUCAACCAUUGUUAGCCCCCUGAACUGGGCUACUUGAGUGCAGGAGAGGAAAGCGGAACUCCAUGUGUAGCGGUGAAAUGCGUAGAUAUAUGGAAGAACACCAGUGGCGAAGGCGGCUUUCUGGACUGUUACUGACACUGAGGCACGAAAGUGUGGGGAGCAAACAGGAUUAGAUACCCUGGUA
RNAcentral lists this ribosomal RNA (433 nucleotides) under uncultured bacterium. RNAcentral's name for it is "partial 16S ribosomal RNA". It matches the Rfam family "Bacterial small subunit ribosomal RNA", at positions 341 to 792 of the family's 1533-position model. The record is from RNAcentral.